CAUCUUUGUUUUUGCAUAACCAGUGUGACAUCAGCUCCAGGAUCUACUCCAACUCACAUCAGUAUGAGCCUUGUUGCAAUAUUCCAGAUUCCUGCUUGGAUGCUCACUUGACAACAACCUUCUCCAUAAAUCCCUGAAGCUGAAAACAGUUCCUGAUGUCUUUCCUUUGGAUAUACCUGGCUCUGUUGUUUAUCCUGCAAAAUGCUGUUUCAUCAGAUCAAGUGGUUGCACUGGAAUGCCCCAAGAACGUAACAGUCACAAAAGGAGGCCAAAUGACAAUAAACUGUACAAUAAAUUGGAACAAUAACAAGAGCUGUACCGGUACAGAUUACUUUUGGAAAAACGAAAAUGAUAUAAUUAAAUGUCCGGACAGCUCAUCAACAACAUAUUUCUGUGACUGGGAUCACAUUAACUACAUCUUCCUGAACAUCUCUGAUGUUCAAAAAGAAGAAAAUUUCACAGUUGGAAUUAGGGCCCCCUGUGGUUUGGAUGACCAGUUAGUCAUUCUUCAGAUCCUGUGUGAGUGACCUUUAGCAUCUGAAAGUCUAUUUUCUUUUCACCUAUGAAAAAAAAAUAAGAUUAACAAAAUGUGUUUUCACUUUUUUAGCUGAAUCGAGCCAAUUCAAGGAGAGCCCGAAACAGGAGGGGAGCCGGGAACAGGAGCUGAACCAGUCAUAUCUGAUUCCCAGCAUAGUGGGUGUUCUCGUUGCAGUCGUUGUCGCGGCCAUUUUGACUGUUCUUAUUAGAAAACACAAAGAAAACUCACACCAGAAAGUGAAUCAAGAAACUCCUCAGGAUGUUUGAUGAUAUCCCUUAGAGAUGCAAGAUAUUUUUGCUCUUUCUUGCUCUUUGGAACCUACAAAGGUUCCCAUGGUUGUGGCGUGUCCGCUGACCUGAAACCUGGACAGUUUGCGUCCGCAUGCUGAAGCUGCUGCUGGUAGCGGCUGUAUGUAAAAAUAAACGGCUUUAAUCUACAAGCUUUUUAUCCAUAGAGUGGGUCAGUGCUGAAGCCAGACACAAGGAAAUACAGAUGGAGAUUGAAGUGUUAAUACUUUAUAUGUUCACACUGGCAAUUGUUAUAAAAGAAAGUUAUUUCUCACAUUUCUGUUGCUCUAAAUAUGACUACAUUUUACUCUCAGGAAGUGUCCUUUGCCUACUCCAGAUAUGUUCCUGUAGCACUAGUUACACUUAUUACCAUCCUCUCCUCUUUGUUGUUAUAGCUCAAAAAGGAUGUAGAAAUGUUUUAAAUUUAUUCAUAUUUGAUCACCAGCUCCAUUUGGCAUAUAUGCUCAUAUUAACUUAGUUAUAUGUAUAGUAGUGUGUGUUAUUGGGAGUAUGUAUUAGUUUUAUACAGUAAGACUGUAUAACAUUAACCUUGUGUGGAGGAUAUUAGUGAAGUAGAGUCUUCCCCCAGAUGCAGGAUGUCUAACAGCCUCACACCAUUUUCAUACGGUCUCCAUGGUGACCAGUGUUGGGUGGGUUAUCUUAAAUGUAGCUGGCUACAAUAAGAAGUUACUUAAAAUAAUACUAUUUUAGCUAAUUCAGUUCAUUUGAUAAAGUAUUUCACAUUAUUUUGUUUAUUAUACUUUUCAAUGUAUUUGGGGUCUUUUAUAGGUUGGUGGUUUUGAUAUCUUCAGGUUGUAAAAUGAUAAGGAGAGAUGAAAGCUUUAAGAGAAGCCGAUCUUCUGGAUCUGGUCUUAUUAAAGUCCAGUUUUUCAUAGAGAUGAGACUCGCUUUUGAGAAAUUAAUGCAGUCAGAAUGCAAAUGAUGUAAUGAUCUGAGUUUGAAUGUUUUCUUUCUUCUGGAAAGUGUUAUGCUUUGGUUCAUUGUUUUUGUCAUCAGAACAAGGCAACCAGAUGUUGCUGUUUUUCUUGUAAUUUUACAUAAAUUGGCAAAUUUGUACUUUUGUUUGGUAUGUCUUUUGUUUCUGACUAUGCAAAUGUGAAAAGUUGUCUUGGAAAUGUAUCCAACAGAAAGAAAUGGAGGGUACUUUGAAAAUGACAUUAUUACCUAUGAAUCUUCUAGUAUAACAACUUAUUCAAGUUGGAGCUAAAACUUUUGUUCCACAUCUCUUUAACCUGACCGGAAGUGACUUAGAAGUAGGUCUUCAUAAAGGUGAGCUGGCAGCACACAAACAAUAACACUGAUGUCAUUUAGCUCGAAUGUUUGUCUAUGAAAUUCAUUUUAUCUUACCCUUUUCUACCUCCUUGUCAGGAUAGAAGUAGGAUUUGCUUUUUAUGUAUAAUGGACUGAAUAAACUACUACAAUUAAAAAGCA
Molecule: long non-coding RNA, 2277 nt
Organism: Cyprinodon tularosa
Lineage: Eukaryota; Metazoa; Chordata; Actinopteri; Cyprinodontiformes; Cyprinodontidae
Exons: 3
Source: RefSeq, a predicted model, not a curated record